Apis florea (little honeybee) is the source of this 1248-nucleotide long non-coding RNA. Lineage: Eukaryota; Metazoa; Arthropoda; Insecta; Hymenoptera; Apidae. The record is from RefSeq and is a predicted model, not a curated record.
UCUUUUUGCACGCGAAUAACUCUAAAUCAAAAGAUCGUUCCGAGGGGAAAUUCGGGUACGACACUGGUUUUAUAUUUUCAAUCGAACGAGUGAAAAAAAAAAAAAAUCGUCCAACUCAAACGCGGGCUCAGAGAAUCGAUGCACUUGGCGGCUUAGUGCGCGCGAGUUAAACGGCACUUUGGCCACAACCCCCUCGAGUCAGCGGCGAGGAAACGCGGCGGGAAAUCGUUAGCAGUCAUCCAGACGAGGAUCGUCGAGCAGUCAGCCAGCCAGCCAGGCCCCUUUUUUUUUUUCGCUUGCACUUGAUGGUGUGUACCGUGCCUGUUGUUACGUAUUCUCGUGCCCCUAUUUUCUUCUUCGUGCGCGCUCUUUCGCCGGGAUAAGAGAGGAGGGUGUACACGCCCGACUUAGGGAAGCGUAAACGCCGACGUUGAACGUUCAACGACACGCGGGGAAUCGAGUGAUAAAUGGAACGAACGAACGAACGAGCGAACGUGCAUCGAUGAGCCGUUUCCCCUCCCCCCCCCCCUCUGCCCCCCGUUCGAUUGACGUUGAUUUAUCAUCGUUAUGCCGGUUUCGUUAUUCUGCUUCUUUUUCAGUCGAGCUUAAUUUUUUUUUUUUUUUUUUUUUGUAGAAGAGUUAGUUGUUGGAAGGGAAUAUGAUUGGGGUGAUUGGAUUUUUAACCCUUUCGUUUCUGAAUUUCGUUCAGGCGACGCUGAGAUUGGCUGUAAUUUUUCUUUUUUUUUUAGGGGGAUUUUUUUGUUAGGAGGAUAUUAUUUUUGGAAAAUGUUUAAUGCGUUUGGAUAGUGAGAUAGUGAGGAUCGAGUAUAUUGGUCAAGUAUUUUUGCUACUUAUAAGUAAAGAUUUUUCAAAAAAGAAGAAAUUUAAGGAAGUUAGUUACGAUAUAAUGUGUGAUAUAAAGCUGAGCUGUGAAAAAGGAAAAGUUUAUGAAAUAAACGGUUCGUUAUUUAAAUAUUUCGUUGUUUGGGAAAGGUUGUGAGUAAAGUAAGAUUAUUUAUAAUUCGAGGGUUAGUAGGAGGUUACAUGUACAUUUUAGAUUUGCGGGGAAAAUUUAAGAAAAAAAAAAAAAUAUCGAGAAUUUGCAACAAUGAUGAUUAAUAUUUCCGAGUAAGUAUUAAAAUUUCAAAUGUAAAUUUUAAAUUUUAAGGAACGAGAGGGUUAAAUACGAGAUAUUCACAGGGUAAAUUAGAAAUGAUAAUUCUCUAUCGGCGUUUAAUUUAAUCUAAA